This 200-nucleotide ribosomal RNA is filed under the name uncultured bacterium. RNAcentral's name for it is "partial 16S ribosomal RNA". It matches the Rfam family "Bacterial small subunit ribosomal RNA", at positions 328 to 539 of the family's 1533-position model. The record is from RNAcentral.
ACGCUCGACACCUACGGAGCCAGCAGUGGGGAAUAUUGGGCAAUGGGCGCAAGCCUGACCCAGCAACGCCGCGUGAGUGAUGAAGGUCUUCGGAUUGUAAAACUCUUUAAGCAGGGAAGAAGAAAGUGACGGUACCUGCAGAAUAAGCAUCGGCUAACUACGUGCCAGCAGCCGCGGUAAUCUGAGCGGGCUGGCAAGGC